GAUUAAGUUAUUAAGGGCGCACGGUGGAUGCCUUGGCACUAGAAGCCGAUGAAGGACGUUACUAACGACGAUAUGCUUUGGGGAGCUGUAAGUAAGCUUUGAUCCAGAGAUUUCCGAAUGGGGAAACCCAGCAUGAGUUAUGUCAUGUUAUCGAUAUGUGAAUACAUAGCAUAUCAGAAGGCACACCCGGAGAACUGAAACAUCUUAGUACCCGGAGGAAGAGAAAGAAAAUUCGAUUCCCUUAGUAGCGGCGAGCGAAACGGGAAGAGCCCAAACCAACAAGCUUGCUUGUUGGGGUUGUAGGACACUCUAUACGGAGUUACAAAGGACGACAUUAGACGAAUCAUCUGGAAAGAUGAAUCAAAGAAGGUAAUAAUCCUGUAGUCGAAAAUGUUGUCUCUCUUGAGUGGAUCCUGAGUACGACGGAGCACGUGAAAUUUCGUCGGAAUCUGGGAGGACCAUCUCCUAAGGCUAAAUACUCUCUAGUGACCGAUAGUGAACCAGUACCGUGAGGGAAAGGUGAAAAGUACCCCGGAAGGGGAGUGAAAUAGAACCUGAAACCGUGUGCUUACAAGUAGUCAGAGCCCGUUAAUGGGUGAUGGCGUGCCUUUUGUAGAAUGAACCGGCGAGUUACGAUUUGAUGCAAGGUUAAGCAGUAAAUGUGGAGCCGUAGCGAAAGCGAGUCUGAAUAGGGCGUUUAGUAUUUGGUCGUAGACCCGAAACCAGGUGAUCUACCCUUGGUCAGGUUGAAGUUCAGGUAACACUGAAUGGAGGACCGAACCGACUUACGUUGAAAAGUGAGCGGAUGAACUGAGGGUAGCGGAGAAAUUCCAAUCGAACCUGGAGAUAGCUGGUUCUCUCCGAAAUAGCUUUAGGGCUAGCCUCAAGUGAUGAUUAUUGGAGGUAGAGCACUGUUUGGACGAGGGGCCCCUCUCGGGUUACCGAAUUCAGACAAACUCCGAAUGCCAAUUAAUUUAACUUGGGAGUCAGAACAUGGGUGAUAAGGUCCGUGUUCGAAAGGGAAACAGCCCAGACCACCAGCUAAGGUCCCAAAAUAUAUGUUAAGUGGAAAAGGAUGUGGCGUUGCCCAGACAACUAGGAUGUUGGCUUAGAAGCAGCCAUCAUUUAAAGAGUGCGUAAUAGCUCACUAGUCGAGUGACACUGCGCCGAAAAUGUACCGGGGCUAAACAUAUUACCGAAGCUGUGGAUUGUCCUUUGGACAAUGGUAGGAGAGCGUUCUAAGGGCGUUGAAGCAUGAUCGUAAGGACAUGUGGAGCGCUUAGAAGUGAGAAUGCCGGUGUGAGUAGCGAAAGACGGGUGAGAAUCCCGUCCACCGAUUGACUAAGGUUUCCAGAGGAAGGCUCGUCCGCUCUGGGUUAGUCGGGUCCUAAGCUGAGGCCGACAGGCGUAGGCGAUGGAUAACAGGUUGAUAUUCCUGUACCACCUAUAAUCGUUUUAAUCGAUGGGGGGACGCAGUAGGAUAGGCGAAGCGUGCGAUUGGAUUGCACGUCUAAGCAGUAAGGCUGAGUAUUAGGCAAAUCCGGUACUCGUUAAGGCUGAGCUGUCAUGGGGAGAAGACAUUGUGUCUUCGAGUCGUUGAUUUCACACUGCCGAGAAAAGCCUCUAGAUAGAAAAUAGGUGCCCGUACCGCAAACCGACACAGGUAGUCAAGAUGAGAAUUCUAAGGUGAGCGAGCGAACUCUCGUUAAGGAACUCGGCAAAAUGACCCCGUAACUUCGGGAGAAGGGGUGCUCUUUAGGGUUAACGCCCAGAAGAGCCGCAGUGAAUAGGCCCAAGCGACUGUUUAUCAAAAACACAGGUCUCUGCUAAACCGUAAGGUGAUGUAUAGGGGCUGACGCCUGCCCGGUGCUGGAAGGUUAAGAGGAGUGGUUAGCUUCUGCGAAGCUACGAAUCGAAGCCCCAGUAAACGGCGGCCGUAACUAUAACGGUCCUAAGGUAGCGAAAUUCCUUGUCGGGUAAGUUCCGACCCGCACGAAAGGCGUAACGAUUUGGGCACUGUCUCAACGAGAGACUCGGUGAAAUCAUAGUACCUGUGAAGAUGCAGGUUACCCGCGACAGGACGGAAAGACCCCGUGGAGCUUUACUGUAGCCUGAUAUUGAAAUUCGGCACAGCUUGUACAGGAUAGGUAGGAGCCUUUGAAACGUGAGCGCUAGCUUACGUGGAGGCGCUGGUGGGAUACUACCCUAGCUGUGUUGGCUUUCUAACCCGCACCACUUAUCGUGGUGGGAGACAGUGUCAGGCGGGCAGUUUGACUGGGGCGGUCGCCUCCUAAAAGGUAACGGAGGCGCUCAAAGGUUCCCUCAGAAUGGUUGGAAAUCAUUCAUAGAGUGUAAAGGCAUAAGGGAGCUUGACUGCGAGACCUACAAGUCGAGCAGGGUCGAAAGACGGACUUAGUGAUCCGGUGGUUCCGCAUGGAAGGGCCAUCGCUCAACGGAUAAAAGCUACCCCGGGGAUAACAGGCUUAUCUCCCCCAAGAGUUCACAUCGACGGGGAGGUUUGGCACCUCGAUGUCGGCUCAUCGCAUCCUGGGGCUGUAGUCGGUCCCAAGGGUUGGGCUGUUCGCCCAUUAAAGCGGUACGCGAGCUGGGUUCAGAACGUCGUGAGACAGUUCGGUCCCUAUCCGUCGUGGGCGUAGGAAAUUUGAGAGGAGCUGUCCUUAGUACGAGAGGACCGGGAUGGACAUACCUCUGGUGUACCAGUUGUCGUGCCAACGGCAUAGCUGGGUAGCUAUGUGUGGACGGGAUAAGUGCUGAAAGCAUCUAAGCAUGAAGCCCCCCUCAAGAUGAGAUUUCCCAACUUCGGUUAUAAGAUCCCUCAAAGAUGAUGAGGUUAAUAGGUUCGAGGUGGAAGCAUGGUGACAUGUGGAGCUGACGAAUACUAAUCGAUCGAAGACUUAAUCAA
Molecule: ribosomal RNA, 2923 nt
Filed under: Staphylococcus aureus
Lineage: Bacteria; Bacillati; Bacillota; Bacilli; Caryophanales; Staphylococcaceae
Description: 23S ribosomal RNA
Rfam family: Bacterial large subunit ribosomal RNA
Source: RNAcentral